This 268-nucleotide ribosomal RNA is filed under the name uncultured bacterium. Its description in RNAcentral is "partial 16S ribosomal RNA". It matches the Rfam family "Bacterial small subunit ribosomal RNA", at positions 85 to 354 of the family's 1533-position model. The record is from RNAcentral.
CCGAUGGCGACCGGCGCACGGGUGAGUAACACGUAUCCAACCUGCCGAUAACUCGGGGAUAGCCUUUCGAAAGAAAGAUUAAUAUCCGAUAGGAUAUCAAGGUCACAUGAUCUUGAUAUUAAAGAAUUUCGGUUAUCGAUGGGGAUGCGUUCCAUUAGUUAGUUGGCGGGGUAACGGCCCACCAAGACGACGAUGGAUAGGGGUUCUGAGAGGAAGGUCCCCCACAUUGGAACUGAGACACGGUCCAAACUCCUACGGAAGGCAGCAG